CGAGCGCCCUUGUAAAAAAUGCCAGCAGUAUUUCCGGACUCUAGAAGAGUGCCGGUGCAAACCGAGAGGAGGGUGGGGACGACGUCUUCUCAUCGGGGCCCUUACGUCCUGGGCCACACACGUGCUACAGUGAUGGGUACAGAGGGAAGCCACCCCGCGAGGGGGAGCGGAUCUCUAAAACCGGUCACAUUUCGGAUGGGGGUCUGCAACUCGAUCCCGGGAAGCUGGAAUCGCUAUAAAUCCGAUAUCCACCGUGAUCCGGUGAAUACGUUCCCGGGCCUUGUCCACCGC
This 291-nucleotide ribosomal RNA is filed under the name uncultured Flavobacterium sp. RNAcentral's name for it is "partial 16S ribosomal RNA". It matches the Rfam family "Bacterial small subunit ribosomal RNA", at positions 1093 to 1393 of the family's 1533-position model. Lineage: Bacteria; Pseudomonadati; Bacteroidota; Flavobacteriia; Flavobacteriales; Flavobacteriaceae. The record is from RNAcentral.